This 409-nucleotide ribosomal RNA is filed under the name uncultured eukaryote. RNAcentral's name for it is "SSU rRNA". It matches the Rfam family "Eukaryotic small subunit ribosomal RNA", at positions 570 to 990 of the family's 1831-position model. The record is from RNAcentral.
GCACCUGCGGUAAUUCCAGCUCCAAUAGCGUAUAUUAAAGUUGUUGCAGUUAAAAAGCUCGUAGUUGGAUUUCUGCGAGGGUGCCAAUGUCCGCCGACGCGCGUGCGCAGCGGCGCCCUCGCAUCCUUCUGUUACCACCUCUCGGCAUUCACUUGCCGGUGGUCGGCUCAGAGAAUUUACCUUGAGAAAAUUAGAGUGUUUCAGGCAGGCUAGGCCGGAAUACAUUAGCAUGGAAUAAUGGAAUAGGACUACGGUCUCGUUGUUGGUUUGAGGGACUGCAGUAAUGAUUAAUAGGGAUAGUUGGGGGCAUUAGUAUUUAAUUGUCAGAGGUGAAAUUCUCAGAUUUGUUAAAGACUAACUUAUGCGAAAGCAUUUGCCAAGGAUGUUUUCAUCAAUCAAGAACGAAAGU